GCCCUAGUUGAUUCUCCUCUCCCUCCUCUUCCUAUCCCACCCCUUCCAUCACCACCGAAUUGUCCGAAGACGGAGACGAUCUUCUCCCACCCCCCUGGAUGCCACCACUGUUAAAUCAUCCAAAGAUGGAGAUGGAGACGGUCCUCUCCCACUCCCUCGAUGCCACCAUCGUCGGAUCAUUUGGAGACUGAAAUCAAAGAAUGAAAGGAUCGCAGAAGAGGAGAUUAGGGGUCGAUGGGAGAUGG
RNAcentral lists this long non-coding RNA (245 nucleotides) under Elaeis guineensis (African oil palm). Its description in RNAcentral is "long non-coding RNA (EGUI_LNC028962)". Lineage: Eukaryota; Viridiplantae; Streptophyta; Magnoliopsida; Arecales; Arecaceae. The record is from RNAcentral.